UACGAGGGGGGCAAGCGUUGUUCGGAAUUAUUGGGCGUAAAGGGUGCGUAGGUGGUUCGGCAAGUCUUGUGUGAAAUCUUCAGGCUCAACUUGAAGUCUGCAUAAGAAACUGCCGGGCUUGAGUAUGGGAGAGGUGAGUGGAAUUUCCGGUGUAGCGGUGAAAUGCGUAGAUAUCGGAAGGAACACCUGUGGCGAAAGCGGCUCACUGGACCAUUACUGACACUGAGGCACGAAAGCUAGGGGAGCAAACAG
RNAcentral lists this ribosomal RNA (252 nucleotides) under uncultured bacterium. Its description in RNAcentral is "partial 16S ribosomal RNA". It matches the Rfam family "Bacterial small subunit ribosomal RNA", at positions 524 to 775 of the family's 1533-position model. The record is from RNAcentral.